GAGCGACACCAAGGGUGGUGUCGA
This 24-nucleotide small nuclear RNA is filed under the name Arabidopsis thaliana (thale cress). RNAcentral's name for it is "snRNA_01044". The record is from RNAcentral. Lineage: Eukaryota; Viridiplantae; Streptophyta; Magnoliopsida; Brassicales; Brassicaceae.